AACUGACUUACUGGUCGGUGUAUUAUUAUUUGGUUUGUCGCCGUUUCAGUUGCCUAUGAGACGUCGUUGCGGUAAUGUUUGUAGGCGGAUUAUUUUAAUCGGUAGUGAAAUUAAAUUUACUUGAAUUUUCGCUCACGGUAUUGGCUCUAAAUAUUCGACGCGUGCUUUUUUAACAUGUUUUGGAUGGCGCGGAUUGUAAACGUGUAAUAAAAUAACACAAAACAAAGCGCGUGAAAUGAAAAAAAGUGCUAAUAAUUUAGACGGGAAAGUGUUUUGAAAUUUUAGGGGUUUUUACCAAAAUAUUUACACGCGAAGUGUAGUUAAAGAAAUAUAUUUAUAUGUGCACAUUUGUUUGUGUAUUUGUGCGAGUCAAAGUGAAGUGUGAAAAUAAAGUGAAGUAAGGUGAAUAGCUAGCGAAUAACUGGCAUGCAAACAACGGCUAAGCCAUACGCAAAAUGAAAUAAAACGAAAGGAAAAAAAAAUACAACGUCAAAACGUCAGCGUAGUGUUUAUUUUUCGUUUUAUUAGGACGAGUUGAAGUGUGGCCUGCACGAAUGCGAAAAUAUCAAACUAAAAUUGAAGAUUGAAUUUAAUAAUUCUACUGCUGUUGCUAGGAAAAGUUGCUGCAAAUAUCGCCACAAAUCUGCUUGACAAUUGUUCCGGUUGCAUGAGGUCAAAAAGCUGAUACUUUUCUGAGAAAAUCGGAAUCAAAAAUUCCAAAUCAUAAUUAAAUGAAUAUGAAAAAUUAAUUGAUAAUUACAUAGAAGAGAAGGGAAAUACCCUAAACAAAAUACAAAUAAUUUAAUUUCUCAGUAAAUAAAUAAAACAAAAAAAAUUAAGAGUAACUCUUCGCUGGAAUUGGUGAAAUUUUAAAGGUAAAUUAAAUAAUACUCUUUGCUAUUCAUCCAAUUUCCAAGUACUCGUAAGUGCCACACACUUCAAAGCAUCUCAAUUACGAAUAUUUAUUUAUGCGCAUUCACAGAAGACUGCGUUUCCUGCCCAUCAAAACAAAAGUAAAUCAAAUCUAAGAAUAAAUAUCCGAACAUGCACACAUAUCAUAUAAUAUUUCUCAUUACAUAUCAUUUGCAAGCAAGCAAAUCAAAAAAAAAGAAAAAGAAAUUCAACAAAUAUUUUAUGCACAACGCAAAUUUGAAUUUCUCACACAUGACUGGGCCAGUUCCACAUAAGCAUGUCCUUUUGUUAUAGCUUAUCCUUAUUAUCUGCUGCUCAAAAGAACAAAGCGAACCCAAACUCAGGCUUUAUCAACAAAUCUUAUUGCAUAAAAAAAAUAAGCGAAACCAUUCGUAAAUGACAUAAGAGGACCAGCAUUAAACAAAAGUACAGAUUCACAACCGAGAACCUAAUACGGGAAUAAGUAAGUACUGGGUAGUCGCACAAAACCAUGGGAAAUAAAGUAUUACAAAAGCCAGCGAGACAGUGAAGAAAAAAAUGUGAACUCUUAGCCGCCUGUUUUGGUUGACCACAACUCGCAUUAGUUGUUCAAGCAAAGCAGGAUUCAGCCAACUCAUCUGUGUGUAUACCUUUUGGGUUCAUGCAAUAUCACCACUGACUUAAGUACGAAUUCCAGCUUGUCUCUUUAACAUCCUCUUGAAUGGGCACACAUCCACACUUACAUACAUAUGACAUUGUAUGUGUUACAGGUCCUUUUCGGUUAGUUGGUUAGGAUUUGAAUAGCGUACGAGUAUUCACGUAAUAUGUUUAUGGCUCCAUACUUCAGGUACACUUCAUUUUGUGUGUAUGUGGGUGAGCGUGGGCGCGCGUGAUUGUAUGUAGUGAGAUAUGAAUAUUGCGCGCUUACUUAUUCUAC
Molecule: long non-coding RNA, 1828 nt
Organism: Anastrepha ludens (Mexican fruit fly)
Lineage: Eukaryota; Metazoa; Arthropoda; Insecta; Diptera; Tephritidae
Exons: 3
Source: RefSeq, a predicted model, not a curated record